AUACGUAGGGGGCGAGCGUUGUCCGGAAUGAUUGGGCGUAAAGGGCGCGUAGGCGGCCCGGUAAGUCUGGAGUGAAAGUCCUGUUUUUAAGAUGGGAAUUGCUUUGGAUACUGGGGGGCUUGAGUGCAGGAGAGGUUAUCGGAAUUCCCGGUGUAGCGGUGAAACGCGUAGAGAUCGGGAGGAACACCAGUGGCGAAGGCGGGUAACUGGACUGCAACUGACGCUGAGGCGCGAAAGUGUGGGGAGCAAACAGGAUUAGAUACCCUGGUAGUCCACACUGUAAACGAUGAAUGCUAGGUGUAAGAGGUAUCGACCCCUUUUGUGCCGGAGUCAACACAAUAAGCAUUCCGCCUGGGGAGUACGGCCGCAAGGUUGAAACUCAAAGGAAUUGGCGGGG
This 397-nucleotide ribosomal RNA is filed under the name uncultured bacterium. RNAcentral's name for it is "partial 16S ribosomal RNA". It matches the Rfam family "Bacterial small subunit ribosomal RNA", at positions 523 to 918 of the family's 1533-position model. The record is from RNAcentral.